GCAUCACUGGUGUUCGGGUUGUCAUGCCAAUGGCACUGCCCGGUAGCUAAAUGCGGAAGAGAUAAGUGCUGAAAGCAUCUAAGCACGAAACUUGCCCCGAGAUGAGUUCUCCCUGAGACUUUAGGUCUCCUGAAGGAACGUUGAAGACGACGACGUUGAUAGGCCGGGUGUGUAAGCGCAGCGAUGCGUUGAGCUAACCGGUACUAAUGAACCGUGAGGCUUAACCUU
Molecule: ribosomal RNA, 228 nt
Filed under: Salmonella enterica subsp. enterica serovar Oranienburg
Lineage: Bacteria; Pseudomonadati; Pseudomonadota; Gammaproteobacteria; Enterobacterales; Enterobacteriaceae
Also listed under: 1 other name
Description: partial 23S ribosomal RNA
Rfam family: Bacterial large subunit ribosomal RNA
Source: RNAcentral